UCCCAGCUGGUUCAGCAGGAAAAAAAUCUGCCAGUGAAGCAGGAGAUACAGGUUCAAUCCCUGGGUUGGGAA
This 72-nucleotide transfer RNA is filed under the name Ovis aries (sheep). It matches the Rfam family "tRNA". From Rfam's summary of the family: Transfer RNA (tRNA) molecules are approximately 80 nucleotides in length. Their secondary structure includes four short double-helical elements and three loops (D, anti-codon, and T loops). Lineage: Eukaryota; Metazoa; Chordata; Mammalia; Artiodactyla; Bovidae. The record is from Rfam by way of RNAcentral.